UACGGAGGGUGCAAGCGUUAUCCGGAAUUACUGGGCUUAAAGGGUGCGUAGGCGGCUGUGUAAGUCAGAGGUGAAAUCCUGCAGCUUAACUGUAGAAUUGCCUUUGAUACUGCGUAGCUUGAAUCAAGUUGAGGUUAGCGGAAUGUGACAUGUAGCGGUGAAAUGCAUAGAUAUGGCAUAGAACACCAGUUGCGAAGGCAGCUGACUGGGCUUGAAUUGACGCUGAGGCGCGAAAGCGUGGGGAGCGAACAGG
This 253-nucleotide ribosomal RNA is filed under the name uncultured bacterium. RNAcentral's name for it is "partial 16S ribosomal RNA". It matches the Rfam family "Bacterial small subunit ribosomal RNA", at positions 524 to 776 of the family's 1533-position model. The record is from RNAcentral.